CCGUAGGUGAACCUGCGGAGGGAUCAUUACUGAGUUUACAACUCCCAAACCCCUGUGAACAUACCAUUUGUUGCCUCGGCGGUGCCUGCUUCGGCAGCCCGCCAGAGGACCCAAACCCUUGAUUUUAUACAGUAUCUUCUGAGUAAAUGAUUAAAUAAAUCAAAACUUUCAACAACGGAUCUCUUGGUUCUGGCAUCGAUGAAGAACGCAGCGAAAUGCGAUAAGCAAUGUGAAUUGCAGAAUUCAGUGAAUCAUCGAAUCUUUGAACGCACAUUGCGCCCGCCAGUAUUCUGGCGGGCAUGCCUGUUCGAGCGUCAUUUCAACCCUCAAGCCCCCGGGCUUGGUGUUGGAGAUCGGCGUGCCCCCCGGGGCGCGCCGGCUCCCAAAUAUAGUGGCGGUCUCGCUGUAGCUUCCUCUGCGUAGUAGCACACCUCGCACUGGAAAACAGCGUGGCCACGCCGUUAAACCCCCCACUUCUGAAAGGUUGACCUCGGAUCAGGUAGGAAUACCCGCUGAACUUAAGCAUAUCAAUAAGCGGAGG
Molecule: ribosomal RNA, 541 nt
Filed under: uncultured fungus
Lineage: Eukaryota; Fungi
Description: eukaryotic LSU rRNA
Rfam family: 5.8S ribosomal RNA (bases 164-317)
Source: RNAcentral